RNAcentral lists this small RNA (288 nucleotides) under Actibacterium atlanticum. Its description in RNAcentral is "5' ureB small RNA". It matches the Rfam family "5' ureB small RNA". Lineage: Bacteria; Pseudomonadati; Pseudomonadota; Alphaproteobacteria; Rhodobacterales; Roseobacteraceae. The record is from Rfam by way of RNAcentral.
AUCUUCGACCUGCUGCGGGCAGAUAAAGUGGAUGUGGCUGUCAAAGCCGCCCGCGGUCAGGAUUUUACCUUCGCCCGCGAUCGCCUCGGUGCCGGGGCCGACGAUGAUAUCGACACCGGGCUGAGUAUCCGGGUUGCCCGCCUUGCCGAUCUUGUGGAUUUUGCCGUCUUUCAGGCCGACAUCGGCCUUGUAAAUACCGGUGUGAUCCAGGAUCAGCGCGUUGGUGAUGACGGUGUCCACCGCCCCGCCUGCGCGGGUGGUCUGGGCUUGCCCCAUCCCAUCGCGGAU